Non-coding RNA from Ictidomys tridecemlineatus (thirteen-lined ground squirrel), 287 nucleotides. NCBI's taxonomy places the organism in Eukaryota, Metazoa, Chordata, Mammalia, Rodentia, Sciuridae. The record is from RefSeq and is a predicted model, not a curated record.
CUGAGCUUGAUGAGAAGCUCAAAAGGAUCAAUCGAUGAACAGCCACGUGGGAAGAGAAAACUGUACCCAAACAGCCAUGAAUCUUGCCUUACGUAAGCAGGAGGUUGGUAGCCACCUUGUAAGGCAGCUGUACACCUGGCUCAGAGAAUUUGGCCUCAGUCCAAGCUGCAUAGUGGGCAUUGGACAGGCCUGCACAGAGAGGUGAAGAACUGGAGUUGCCCAACCUGCCCUUCUGCAGCUGAGGUUGAACUUGGUUUGCCUUCUCGUUUCAGCUCUCCUGUUACAAG